This 554-nucleotide ribosomal RNA is filed under the name uncultured Glomeromycotina. RNAcentral's name for it is "SSU rRNA". It matches the Rfam family "Eukaryotic small subunit ribosomal RNA", at positions 373 to 931 of the family's 1831-position model. Lineage: Eukaryota; Fungi; Glomeromycota. The record is from RNAcentral.
GGGUUCGAUUCCGGAGAGGGAGCCUGAGAAACGGCUACCACAUCCAAGGAAGGCAGCAGGCGCGCAAAUUACCCAAUCCCGACACGGGGAGGUAGUGACAAUAAAUAACAACACAGGGCUCUUUUGGGUCUUGUUAUUGGAAUGAGUACGAUUUAAAUCUCCUAACGAGGAACAAUUGGAGGGCAAGUCUGGUGCCAGCAGCCGCGGUAAUUCCAGCUCCAAUAGCGUAUAUUAAAGUUGUUGCAGUUAAAAAGCUCGUAGUUGAAUUUCAGGCCUGGCUGGACGGUCCGCCCUUCGGGUGAGUACUGUCUGUGGUCGGGUCCUACCUUCUGGCGAAGCGUCAUGGCCUUAACCGGCCGUGGCGGGGAACCAGGACUUUUACUGUGAAAAAAUUAGAGUGUUCAAAGCAGGCAAUCGCUUGGAUACAUUAGCAUGGAAUAAUGGAAUAGGACAAUGGUUCUAUUUGUUGGUUUCUAGGACCGUUGUAAUGAUUAAUAGGGAUAGUUGGGGGCAUUAGUAUUCAAUUGUCAGAGGUGAAAUUCUUGGAUUUAUUG